UACGUAGGGUGCGAGCGUUGUCCGGAAUUAUUGGGCGUAAAGAGCUCGUAGGCGGUUUGUUGCGUCGGCUGUGAAAUCCCGAGGCUCAACCUCGGGUCUGCAGUCGAUACGAGCAAACUAGAGUGUUGCAGGGGAGACUGGAAUUCCUGGUGUAGCGGUGAAAUGCGCAGAUAUCAGGAGGAACACCGGUGGCGAAGGCGGGUCUCUGGGCAACAACUGACGCUGAGGCGCGACAGCGUGGGGAGCAAACAGG
Molecule: ribosomal RNA, 253 nt
Filed under: uncultured bacterium
Lineage: Bacteria
Description: partial 16S ribosomal RNA
Rfam family: Bacterial small subunit ribosomal RNA
Source: RNAcentral